ACGAACGCUGGCGGCAUGCCUAACCCAUGCAAGUCGAACGAGACCUUUGGGUCUAGUGGCGCACGGGUGCGUUACGCGUGGGAACCCGCCCUUAGGUUUGGAAUAACUCCCCGAAAGGGGUGCUAAUACCGGAUAAUGUCUUCGGACCAAAGAUUUAUUGCCUUUGGAUGGGCCCGCGUUGGAUUAGCUAGUUGGUAGGGUAAAAGCCUACCAAGGCGACGAUCCAUAGCUGGUCUGAGAGGAUGAUCAGCCACACUGGGACUGAGACACGGCCCAGACUCCUACGGGAAGCAGCAGUGGGGAAUAUUGGACAAUGGGCGAAAGCCUGAUCCAGCAAUGCCGCGUGAGUGAUGAAGGCCUUAGGGUUGUAAAGCUCUUUUACCCGGGAUGAUAAUGACAGUACCGGGAGAAUAAGCUCCGGCUAACUCCGUG
RNAcentral lists this ribosomal RNA (432 nucleotides) under uncultured bacterium. RNAcentral's name for it is "partial 16S ribosomal RNA". It matches the Rfam family "Bacterial small subunit ribosomal RNA", at positions 29 to 507 of the family's 1533-position model. The record is from RNAcentral.